UACAUUCAAACACGUAUCGAAACUCCAAAGCAAACAGCCUUGGUUCUAACAUUAUUUUUGUCCUGCAGUUUUUCCCAGCAUCUUCUUCUCCCUAUAAAGAAAAUUACAGACUUUGUCACUCACAUUUGUUUCCAGUUUUGUUCCACCAUUCUAGUCACCUAUUAUGCAUUAUUUUAUUUAUCAUAUCUUUUUAAUAUAUAUUGACUAUAUUGUUUUGAUCUAGGAAGCUCGGACACAGCUCAUCCCCCUCGUACUGGUGUCAUACGUGUGUCCAACACAGACACUCGUCAUACACACCUGGAUACAUAUGGGACAUGCCGAAAUGUCGAAAAAAAAAGAGAUAUGAAUUUGGAGUGCCGAAAUUCAAAAUCAAACAAAAUGGUCUAAAUUAGAACGAAAAACAAAGAGGAAGGCUAAAUUGAAGAAUUGAAGAAUUAAUGGUUAACUGAUUAAAAUCAUAUUUUUGAAAUUUUCAAAAUUCUAUAAAUAAUUUAAAUUUGAUUUUUUGUUAA
Gossypium arboreum is the source of this 512-nucleotide long non-coding RNA. RefSeq lists it as uncharacterized. The transcript has 2 exons. Lineage: Eukaryota; Viridiplantae; Streptophyta; Magnoliopsida; Malvales; Malvaceae. The record is from RefSeq and is a predicted model, not a curated record.